Molecule: long non-coding RNA, 339 nt
Filed under: Brachypodium distachyon (stiff brome)
Lineage: Eukaryota; Viridiplantae; Streptophyta; Magnoliopsida; Poales; Poaceae
Description: long non-coding RNA (BDIS_LNC003607)
Source: RNAcentral
AAUCAUCAAGUGUUUCAUGCUAUAAGAGUAAUGUUCUUAUUUUUUUCAGUCACACUGACCUGCAAGUUAUUGUGCUAUAUGUGUCUAGCCUUCUUUUGGUACAUCCCGUGGAAUGUCAUGAUUUCCUCCACAAAAGCAUCCAGACAAAUCAGCUGAAGGGAGCAGGAGGAUUAUGUGGGAGGAGUAUCCAGGUAAUAUAUAUGUUCCUGCUAAUCGUGUCACAAUUUCUAUGGGUAAUAGUUUUGUAGAACAUUUUCCCAGCAUUUUAUGAGGUUAAUUCGGAUCAGGUGACCAAGAAUUAGCAGAAAGAAUAUGAUAUACUCAAGCCACAGAGAACAG